This is a non-coding RNA of Podarcis lilfordi (Lilford's wall lizard), 65 nucleotides long. Lineage: Eukaryota; Metazoa; Chordata; Lepidosauria; Squamata; Lacertidae. The record is from the annotation of a GenBank genome assembly.
GCCCGGAUGAUCCUCAGUGGUCUGGGGUGCGGGCUUCAAACCUGUAGGUGUUUGGGACAUGGGUG